GGGGAUUUGGCUCAGUGGUAGAGCACUUGCCUAGGAAGCGCAAGAUCCUGGGUUCGAUUCCCCAGCCCCG
Rattus norvegicus (Norway rat) is the source of this 70-nucleotide non-coding RNA. NCBI's taxonomy places the organism in Eukaryota, Metazoa, Chordata, Mammalia, Rodentia, Muridae. The record is from Rfam.